Molecule: ribosomal RNA, 234 nt
Filed under: uncultured bacterium
Lineage: Bacteria
Description: partial 16S ribosomal RNA
Rfam family: Bacterial small subunit ribosomal RNA
Source: RNAcentral
GAUCCUGGCUCAGAUUGAACGCUGGCGGCAGGCCUAACACAUGCAAGUCGAACGGUAACAGGGAUCAGCUUGCUGAUUCGCUGACGAGUGGCGGACGGGUGAGUAAUGUCUGGGAAACUGCCUGAUGGAGGGGGAUAACUACUGGAAACGGUAGCUAAUACCGCAUAACGUCGCAAGACCAAAGAGGGGGGACCUUCGGGCCUCUUGCCAUCGGAUGUGCCCAGAUGGGAUUAG